UUUUAAUGAGGAGUAGACUUUGUCAAAAACUUUUUCUAUGUCUAUUGAAAAGACGAAUGAGCAAAAAACAUUCACCUACAAUUCUACACCUAGCAAACAUUUCUUUGAAAAAUAGUGGUAGAAUAAAAAUGUGUUCAGGCAUAUAAGUGCUGGAAUAAUUUAUUUUCAGCAGAUCUGCAUUGUAAGAAAAAUGAGAAGAAUUCCUUCAGGAAGAAGAAAAAUGAUACCAGAUGGAUAUGUGGAUCCACAUAAAGGAACGAAGAGCACAGGAAAUAGUAACUAUACUGGAAGUGGUCCAGCCACCCUUUUCAUCUCUACCGUGGAAGACCUUUCAGGACCGACCUAGAUGGGGUUCAGGGGAAAAGAGACGAGCAGCCAGUGGAUCAGAAAACUUAUAAUAAGGUCUUCAUUCUGCAUUCAUUUCCGUAGCAUGAAACCUGUGACCAGACUCCCUCAGUUCAUACCAUGGCUCUGCCACUUAUUUGCUGCAUGAUCCCAGGCACGUUGCUUUACUUUGCUGUGGUUUAGUUCCUCCCCUCUGAACAUGGUGGCAAUAAUGAUACUUUACUCCUAGGGUGGUUGUGAGGACAAAAUUGGUUAACCUGUGUAAAACACUUAGAGCUACAUCUUGCACAUUGUAAAGAUAUGUACAUACUUGUUUUAUUACUAUUCUCUAUAUUUUUUAUUUUCCUGAAUACAAAAAAUGGUUUUGGUAUGUUGUUUUUCUAUUUGGCCAUUUUGUUGAGUUAUCUUAUUUAUUAUAAUAGUUUUUUUUAAAAUGACUUCUCUUAGAUUUCCUUGGUAGAGAAUUGUAAAAAUUAGACAGUUGAGCAGUUGAGGCCAUCCUUUGCAAUAGUUAAAACUCUUUUUUUUUUUUUUUGUCUUAUUACAUUGGCUAAUAUCUCUCGUGGCAAUGAUAAUGGAAAUCCUUGUCUUGUUCCUAAGUAGUAAGACUUCCUCUGAUAUUUCACCAUUAAGCAAGAUGUUUGCUGUAGGAUUUGGUAACUAUGCUUUAGAAGAUGAAGAUAUUUUAUUGUGAUAAAAUGAUAUUAUUAAAGUAUUUUUUUAAUGAGAAAGCAUGAUGAAUUUUAUUAAAUGUUCUCUUUGGCAUCUUUUAAGUUUAGCAUAUAUUUUUU
Molecule: long non-coding RNA, 1136 nt
Organism: Homo sapiens (human)
Lineage: Eukaryota; Metazoa; Chordata; Mammalia; Primates; Hominidae
Exons: 3
Source: RefSeq, a predicted model, not a curated record